AGAGUUUGAUCAUGGCUCAGAACGAACGCUGGCGGCGUGCUUAACACAUGCAAGUCGAGUGCGCGCUUUCGUAGCAAUACGGAAGUGGCGCACGGCGCACGGGUGCGUAACACGUGGGUAACCUGCCCUUUGGUGGGGAAUAACUCCGCGAAAGCGGAGCUAAUUCCGCAUAAGAUCCGCAAGGAUGAAAGCCGCAAGGCGCCGAUGGAGGGGCCCGCGCCCGAUUAGCUAGUUGGUAGGGUAAUGGCCUACCAAGGCUUUGAUCGGUAGCUGGUCUGAGAGGAUGAUCAGCCACACUGGAACUGAGACACGGUCCAGACUCCUACGGGAGGCAGCAGUGGGGAAUCUUGCACAAUGGGCGAAAGCCUGAUGCAGCGACGCCGCGUGGGGGAUGAAGCUUCUCGGAGUGUAAACCCCUUUCGAUCCGGACGAAAACCCGCAAGGGAUUGACGGUACGGAUAUAAGAAGCCCCGGCUAACUACGUGCCAGCAGCCGCGGUAAGACGUAGGGGGCCAGCGUUGUUCGGAAUUACUGGGUGUAAAGGGUUCGUAGGCGGUGCGGCAAGUUGGGAGUGAAAUCUCUGGGCUUAACCCAGAGGCUGCUUCCAAAACUGCUGUGCUUGAGUGUGAGAGAGGCUCGUGGAAUUGCAGGUGUAGCGGUGAAAUGCGUAGAUAUCUGCAGGAACACCCGUGGCGAAAGCGGCGAGCUGGAUCACUACUGACGCUGAGGAACGAAAGCUAGGGGAGCAAACAGGAUUAGAUACCCUAGUAGUCC
This 774-nucleotide ribosomal RNA is filed under the name uncultured bacterium. RNAcentral's name for it is "bacterial SSU rRNA". It matches the Rfam family "Bacterial small subunit ribosomal RNA", at positions 8 to 796 of the family's 1533-position model. The record is from RNAcentral.